This 484-nucleotide ribosomal RNA is filed under the name uncultured bacterium. RNAcentral describes it as "partial 16S ribosomal RNA". It matches the Rfam family "Bacterial small subunit ribosomal RNA", at positions 30 to 507 of the family's 1533-position model. The record is from RNAcentral.
AUUGAACGCUGGCGGCAGGCCUAACACAUGCAAGUCGAACGGAUGAAGGGAGCUUGCUCCUGGAUUCAGCGGCGGACGGGUGAGUAAUGCCUAGGAAUCUGCCUGGUAGUGGGGGAUAACGUCCGGAAACGGGCGCUAAUACCGCAUACGUCCUGAGGGAGAAAGUGGGGGAUCUUCGGACCUCACGCUAUCAGAUGAGCCUAGGUCGGAUUAGCUAGUUGGUGGGGUAAAGGCCUACCAAGGCGACGAUCCGUAACUGGUCUGAGGGGAUGAUCAGUCACACUGGAACUGAGACACGGUCCAGACUCCUACGGGAGGCAGCAGUGGGGAAUAUUGGACAAUGGGCGAAAGCCUGAUCCAGCCAUGCCGCGUGUGUGAAGAAGGUCUUCGGAUUGUAAAGCACUUUAAGUUGGGAGGAAGGGCAGUAAGUUAAUACCUUGCUGUUUUGACGUUACCAACAGAAUAAGCACCGGCUAACUUCGUG